UGCUGAAGUAAACAAGGUGUGAUAUUAUUUUUGCUCCUCUUUAUCUAUUGAUAAUAUCAUCUUAUGUUAAGAUGAGCCGAAUCAAUAUCACUCUUGUAUACUUUCCU
This is a microRNA precursor of Lupinus angustifolius (narrow-leaved blue lupine), 107 nucleotides long. The record is from Rfam. NCBI's taxonomy places the organism in Eukaryota, Viridiplantae, Streptophyta, Magnoliopsida, Fabales, Fabaceae.